Molecule: ribosomal RNA, 491 nt
Filed under: uncultured bacterium
Lineage: Bacteria
Description: partial 16S ribosomal RNA
Rfam family: Bacterial small subunit ribosomal RNA
Source: RNAcentral
AGUGAACGCUGGCGGUAGGCCUAACACAUGCAAGUCGAACGGCAGCACAGUAAGAGCUUGCUCUUACGGGUGGCGAGUGGCGGACGGGUGAGGAAUACAUCGGAAUCUACUUUUUCGUGGGGGAUAACGUAGGGAAACUUACGCUAAUACCGCAUACGACCUACGGGUGAAAGCAGGGGAUCUUCGGACCUUGCGCGAUUGAAUGAGCCGAUGUCGGAUUAGCUAGUUGGCGGGGUAAAGGCCCACCAAGGCGACGAUCCGUAGCUGGUCUGAGAGGAUGAUCAGCCAAACUGGAACUGAGACACGGCCCAGACUCCUAGGGGAGGCAGCAGUGGGGAAUAUUGGACAAUGGGGGCAAGCCUGAUCCAGCCAUACCGGGUGGGUGAAGAAGGCCUUCGGGUUGUAAAGCCCUUUUGUUGGGAAAAAAAAGCAGCAGGUUAAUACCCCGCUGUUCUGACGGUACCCAAAGAAUAAGCACCGGCUAACUUCGU